CAUGGCUUCAAGGGCCAGAUAUGGAUUGGGAACUCCCAAGUCGCUAUGUAGAUUUCUCAGGUCUCUCUGCUUAUUUAGACCCAUCAGAUCUGUCCAUUGAACAUCUCCAUUUAGCUAUUUUCAUUAAAAUUAGGUCCAGCCGAUCCUCCCCCUCGGUCACCGGCAACAACCUCACUGUUCUUGCGCCUCUCAAAUGCAUUGUCCACGUCUACACUGACCAGCAUGGUGGCCAUCAAACACAUGUGGUUAUUACUAAGUACUCAAAAGGUGGCUAGUCCAAACGGAGGUGCGCUCUCCAGCUACCUCGGGAGCCUGUGGAAAAGCUGCAUUCAAAUCGAUAGCCUCAUCAAUAAAUAAAGAGUCAACACAUCCCGUCUCCAGCUCAGGGCUCCUUCAGGAAAAUUGACCCUCGACCCACUUCUGCUCACCCAUUUCUGGAUUUCUGCAGAGGCUGCCAGAGGGAAGGGACCCUUACAGGUCAUCUUGGGUAUCCCCCUGCCUCCAGGCUGGCCUGCCAUGUACCCCAUCCAAGAAGGUCUAGGCCAGGCCCAUGCCCUCUGCCCGCCACCCCCACCACCUCUCCUGGCCAGCUCCUUCCUCCCAGUCCCCUGGGGCUACUACCUUCAUUCCCUCACCGCCAGUCAACUCUCCCCUUUCAGCUCCGGCUUUGCGUCUCAUCUCUUCCGACUCCAUGUCUUUCGUCUGACUACUGCUUCUCAUCAAGUGGAAUCACCAGCAGAAGAGCUCCCCACUCCCCUGCAGUCUCCCCUCUAUAUCCACCCAUCAGACUCCUUGUCAUCCACUAAAUGAGCCCCUCGGGGUCGGACAGAGAAAAUGCAUCCCUGGGAGCAACGGAUAGAGACCUUGUAACUUUACAGAACAGAUAAUGUGUCAGCAGGUUGACUGCGAGGCAGCCCUUUCUCUCUCUGACUUCUGUUACAACAGAGACUCUUCUAGGAAACGCAAGUCUCCAGUAAAGCAAGUUCAUUGUUUCAGACCCCAGAGACCAACAGAGUGGUCACCCACGUAUGACGAUGGGUGGCUGCCUUCUGGGUGGGCCUUGCCACACCUCAAGGCCUCCCCUCUGCUUGGCUGCCUCGGUCUCCCCUCACCCUCCCUAGCCAGAACAGAGAACAUUCCCCCACCUAAGGAGGCCUACGGGCUGCUGGGGUAGUUAGCGCAGAGAAGGGAGUUGUAGGGUUGUGACAGCCUCUCUGUUCUGAGUACUUGGCCACUACGCUCCAGCAGAUCCCUGGGGACUGAACAUUCCUUUAAUUAAA
Odocoileus virginianus texanus is the source of this 1280-nucleotide long non-coding RNA. RefSeq lists it as uncharacterized. The record is from RefSeq and is a predicted model, not a curated record. Lineage: Eukaryota; Metazoa; Chordata; Mammalia; Artiodactyla; Cervidae.